AUUGAACGCUGGCGGCAUGCCUUACACAUGCAAGUCGAACGGCAGCACGGGAGCUUGCUCCUGGUGGCGAGUGGCGAACGGGUGAGUAAUACAUCGGAACGUACCCAGUAGUGGGGGAUAACGCACCGAAAGGUGCGCUAAUACCGCAUACGACCUACGGGCGAAAGCGGGGGACCGUAAGGCCUCGCGCCAUUGGAGAGGCCGAGGUCUGAUUAGCUAGUUGGCGGGGUAAAAGCCCACCAAGGCGACGAUCAGUAGCUGGUCUGAGAGGACGAUCAGCCACACUGGGACUGAGACACGGCCCAGACUCCUACGGGAGGCAGCAGUGGGGAAUUUUGGACAAUGGGGGCAACCCUGAUCCAGCAAUGCCGCGUGUGCGAAGAAGGCCUUCGGGUUGUAAAGCACUUUUGUCAGGGAAGAAAUCUUUCAGGCUAAUACCCUUGGAAGGAUGACGGUACCUGAAGAAUAAGCACCGGCUAACUACGUGCCAGCCGCCGCCGUAA
Molecule: ribosomal RNA, 503 nt
Filed under: uncultured bacterium
Lineage: Bacteria
Description: partial 16S ribosomal RNA
Rfam family: Bacterial small subunit ribosomal RNA
Source: RNAcentral